RNAcentral lists this non-coding RNA (24 nucleotides) under Arabidopsis thaliana (thale cress). Lineage: Eukaryota; Viridiplantae; Streptophyta; Magnoliopsida; Brassicales; Brassicaceae. The record is from RNAcentral.
GAAUUUAACCUGGUGUGGAUCAUA